CAACCGAGACUCCCGUAGUAGUGGCGAGCGAACCGGGACCAGGCCAGUGCUGUCGUGACAUAAAGCUGAAUGUACUGGGAAGUACAGCCAUAGUGGGUGAUAGCCCCGUAAGCGUCAAAUAGCGACAGACUCGAGUAGGGCGGGACACGUGAAAUCCUGUCUGAACAUGGGGGGACCACCCUCCAAGCCUAAAUACUCGUACAUGACCGAUAGCGAACACAGUACCGUGAGGGAAAGGUGAAAAGCACCCCGAUUAGGGGAGUGAAACAGUACCUGAAACCGG
RNAcentral lists this ribosomal RNA (283 nucleotides) under Prymnesium parvum. Its description in RNAcentral is "partial Bacterial large subunit ribosomal RNA". It matches the Rfam family "Bacterial large subunit ribosomal RNA", at positions 226 to 558 of the family's 2925-position model. The record is from RNAcentral. Lineage: Eukaryota; Haptophyta; Prymnesiales; Prymnesiaceae.